AUUGAACGCUGGCGGCAUGCUUUACACAUGCAAGUCGAACGGUAACAGGCCGCAAGGUGCUGACGAGUGGCGAACGGGUGCGUAAUGCAUCGGAACGUGCCCAGUCGUGGGGGAUAAAUACUCGCAAGAGUAGCUAAUACCGCAUACGAUCUAUGGAUGAAAGCGGGGGACCGUAAGGCCUCGCGCGAUUGGAGCGGCCGAUGUCAGAUUAGGUAGUUGGUGGGGUAAAGGCUCACCAAGCCAACGAUCGGUAGCUGGUCUGAGAGGACGACCAGCCACACUGGGACUGAGACACGGCCCAGACUCCUACGGGAGGCAGCAGUGGGGAAUUUUGGACAAUGGGCGCAAGCCUGAUCCAGCAAUGCCGCGUGCAGGAAGAAGGCCUUCGGGUUGUAAACUGCUUUUGUACGGAACGAAACGGCUCUGGUUAAUACCCGGGGCUAAUGACGGUACCGUAAGAAUAAGCACCGGCUAACUACGUG
RNAcentral lists this ribosomal RNA (482 nucleotides) under uncultured bacterium. Its description in RNAcentral is "partial 16S ribosomal RNA". It matches the Rfam family "Bacterial small subunit ribosomal RNA", at positions 30 to 507 of the family's 1533-position model. The record is from RNAcentral.